CAGUAGCCGCGGGAAUACGGAGGGUGCAAGCGUUAAUCGGAAUUACUGGGCGUAAAGCGCACGCAGGCGGUCUGUCAAGUCGGAUGUGAAAUCCCCGGGCUCAACCUGGGAACUGCAUUCGAAACUGGCAGGCUAGAGUCUUGUAGAGGGGGGUAGAAUUCCAGGUGUAGCGGUGAAAUGCGUAGAGAUCUGGAGGAAUACCGGUGGCGAAGGCGGCCCCCUGGACAAAGACUGACGCUCAGGUGCGAAAGCGUGGGGAGCAAACAGGAUUAGAUACCCGAGUAGUCCCUGUCUCUUAUAC
This 301-nucleotide ribosomal RNA is filed under the name uncultured bacterium. RNAcentral describes it as "partial 16S ribosomal RNA". It matches the Rfam family "Bacterial small subunit ribosomal RNA", at positions 509 to 807 of the family's 1533-position model. The record is from RNAcentral.